UAUGGGUUGGUCUGCGUCCUCCUGCUGCUGCUGCACCUUAACAACACAGGGACGAUACCAAACACACACAGAACCUACGACUGUGGGCGUCUUCACAACGCUGGUCACUGCUAGAAAAGUGCAUAACGGUAUCCGUAAGGUAAAGUCUGUCAUGAGUUAAAGGGCAGUUUUGGCAGCAGCUCAGAACCAUAUGUUAGCUAAAUGAAGUUUGACACGCUAACGUCAGGUUUAGCUAUUUUCAUGGAGCUAGCUUCAAUGCUGGCUACAAGUGCUGCCUGCCACUAGCAGCUAGGUUAAGUCAACGCCAGCUGGUGAGAGCCGCUAGCCUUUUGAAGUUGUUCAUUAAAUUAUUGCUUCCAGCCGGCUAACGGCGUUAGCUAGCGUUACAUCUUUAGCCUGAGAUGCCAACCGGUUUUUAGCAAGGUAACGUUUGCAGAGUGUGGGUGUCCCCACUCAGUCUGUUUAGGGAAUGACAAGCUGAAGCAAGUGGCUUUCACUCAUUAAUUAGCCAUUUCAGCUAGCAAUGCGUACUACAUUAUUUCAGAAUAACGUUAGCUCGCCGGCGUCGGAUUACUGUACUCUGUGGUACAACUGUGCCCUGGCCAACGGCGUCACUCGUAGCAUUUCGCAUAAUGAGUGAUCAUUAUGUUAAGGUCAAGGUUCAACUCGAACAAAUGAAAUCAUUCGGCGAAGAUGCAGAGAAAGAGGGUGUGGAUACUGAGGAGCAGCUGCCAGUGUCUUCACCUCCUGCCUCUGUUUCACCAGACCCUUCAAGCACUACUAUAGCUGGCAGAGAUGCAUCCAACAUCUCCAUCACUUGUAAACAUAGAGGUAAAAGUCGUACUAAGCAGGGGAAAGAUGACAAGAACUCCUGUGGCAAAGACAUCUCAGAUCUGUCACUGCACGGGUCUGUAGUUUCUGCUCACGAUGGGAAGAACUUGAAUAGACUGGGGCAUGAGCGGACACUUCACAUCAGAGGAACUGGAAAGAUACUGCAGGGCAAGUCAGAGACUAAUGGGAACUAUGUGACCAUCCAUGCAUCCAAAAAUGUUCAAGACAUGCGCCGUGAGGAUGGAUUCAAACUUCCAAAGAAGAGAAGACCAGUGACAGUGGACACGUCAAAAGCCAAAACCUCACUGGAGGCACUGAAGUUAAGCAUCAAGCAGCUAAAGUGGAAAGAGUUUCCUCUGGGAAGACGAACGGCCUGUGAUAUCUACUGGCAUGGUGUUUCCUUCCACGAUAAUGAAAAUAUUGUCUCAGGGCAGGUGAACAAGUUCCCAGGAAUGAUUGAAAUGCUGAGGAAGAUAAACCUGAGUCGGGCAGUACGGACUAUGCAGGAGUUGUUCCCAGAGGAGUACGACUUCUAUCCCCGUUCCUGGAUCCUGCCUGAGGAGUAUCAGCAGUUCUCCACGCAGAUUCGCAUGGUGAAGGAGAACGAUGCCACAGUGAAUCCCACCUUCAUUGUCAAGCCAGAUGGGGGCUCCCAGGGCGAUGGCAUCUACCUCAUCCGUGACCCCAGUGACCUAAAGCUCAUGGCGGGUUCACAGGCCAAACAGGGUGUAGUCCAGGAGUAUAUCCAGAAGCCGUUACUCAUUGACAAACUCAAGUUUGAUAUCCGCCUCUACGUGCUGAUAAAGUCUCUGGAGCCAUUGGAGAUCUACAUUGCCAAGGAAGGCUUGACACGUUUUUGCACCGAGCCCUACCAGGAGCCAAGCCAGAAGAAUCUGAGCCAUGUCUUCAUGCACUUGACAAACUACUCCCUCAACGUCCACAGCGGCAACUUUGUCCACUCAGACAGCCAGAGCACAGGCAGCAAGCGCACUCUCUCCAGCGUGCUCUACAGGCUGGCAGCAAAAGGGGUAGACAUCAAGAAGGUGUGGUCGGACAUCAUAGCUCUUGUCAUCAAGACUGUCAUUGCUGUGGUGCCUGAACUUAAAGUCUAUUAUCAGGCUGAUAUACCGCCUGGCAAACCAGGACCCACAUGCUUCCAGAUAUUAGGUUUUGACAUCCUGCUGAUGAAGAACCUGAAGCCAGUUUUACUAGAAGUCAACUCCAACCCCAGUAUGAGAAUAGAGCAUGAACAGGAGGUAGCACCAGGUGUUUUUGAAUAUGUUCCCAGUCCUGUGGAUGAAGACGUCAAAGUGGGUGUAAUCAGGGAUACUCUGCGCCUUAUGGACCCUGGCCACAAGAAACCUUCAACUUCCCAACCAAGGGCUGCUGGGUUCGAACACAGAGAAGAGAUUCCCAUGGAGGCAGAGACACAGGAGAGGAGCCCAGAUGAGGGGGCUCUGCCCUCGCUGUGUCUGAAGCAGGUCUACCCCAAGUACACCAAACAGUUCAACUACCUGCGGCUGGUGGAGCGAAUUGCAGCUCUGUUCAUACGCUUCCUCGGGGUCAAGGGCAACAUGCGUCUGGGCCCCACUGCCUUCCGAACCUUCAUCAGGACCUGUAAACUGAGCAACAGUAACUUCACCAUGGCUUCAGUGGACAUCCUCUACAUAGACAUUACACGUCGCUGGUCAGGAACAACGCCUGAUUCUAGAGAAGCAGGGAUGGGACUGCAAGCAUUUGUGGAAGCCUUUUUCUUCCUGGCAGGUCGCAGGUUCAAAUCCCUGGUGCUGAAGGAGCAGGUAGUGUCACUGCUGGAGCUGUGCGAGGCUCAGCUCGAGUCCCAGUCAGGCGUGGAAGACAGACGCUCGCUGAGCUGCAGCAGGGCGCUGCCACGAGCCGUCAAGACUCAGACGCUGGGCCUCACCAACCCGCAGCUCGGCUCUCCUGCUCCACUGCGACGGGCGGCCAGCCAGGACUAUCGGCUGCAUCAAAAACUCAAGCCUCGCACACUCAGGGCCAAUGUGGAGAACUGAUGAGAGAGGGCUCCAAACUAGUCAUCCAACUCCCAAACACUGCCUUUAGCCUUCUCCACAGGAGCAGGGAAAUUAGGUGUCCAUCUCCCCCUCAGCUGCUCCUGCAAGGGUGGGAUGAUGGGAGCUGAGAGAGGGACUAGCUUGACCCCCCGCUGGCUAACUUACAGGAGGACUGCUCUCAGCCUGAUUGCUUUUUCUUCAGAGGAGGAGGAUGUCUGCAGGGGGUUUGGAGUGGAGAUAGAACAAGGGAUAUGAGGAGGGAGCCUGUUCCACUUGGCCAAAGAAACAAGUGAGCUGCACAGGGAGCAAUUAAACCGCACAGGAGCUUUCUGAUGAGGACCUGCUGGUAAUGAGGUCCACUUUCCCCAUUCGAUCACAUAAGGUAAAAGAAUGCAGUCAUAACAUUUAAGAUUUUCAUACUGUUUUUCUCUUGCUUUAUACAGCUAUUUGAUAGAGACAUUUGGUACAAACUCCCCUCCGUUUUUGUUGGUAAGGCUGUUUCAGGCUUUCUCCUACCCACUGUGGGGAAUAACAAUCAGGCAGUAUGUAGGUCAGGCUCGCUGAGAAGUAGGCACUGCUCAAACCAGUCUUUCACAUCCCUCCAUCAUACCCUCCACUCUGCCUUUGGACCCCAAGUCUGAGCAUAUGUUCUCUCUAGCUGCUUGUCAUCUAUCUAGGCCUGCUUGAGUAUUUAAUGAACAUGUGAUUCAUCUCUCAUGCACUCAAAUUAAGCUUCAUUUACAUUUCAUAAUAACAAAGCUUCCCAGAGAACAAUGCAAGCAGGGCGAUGAGAGACAGACACAAGGGGACGAGAUUUUAAAAUAGCUAAAUAAAACUUUAAUAGGUCUAGUUGCGAAUGUACAUAAAUUGCACAGCCACAUUUUGUCAACACAAAUUCCUCUGUACAUUAUUGUUUUGUCACUGUCGUCAAAGGAAGCAGAAUCCAGCAAAUACUUUAUACUUUCAACAUACUUACAAAAGUAUUUUCUACAAGAUAAUAGAAAACAUACAACAUCUUUUACUUUAUUUAUAGCUUUAUAUUUUGAUUGAGCAUUAGUUGGACUGGCUGAACUGUGUGAAGCGUGAGCUCGUGGUUUUCAGACUGAUAAAACAGAACUGAGGUGGGAAUGUGGAUGGGAUAAAUGAACUGAGAGCUGAAGAGUCAAAUUAGAAACCAAACAUCAGGGUGCGUCUCCUACUUAGUGUAGAAGUACUGAUGUAGCAUAAAUGACUUACAGUAUUGUACACUGCAGUUUAAAGCAAGGCUAUGUAUCUUUCUGUACCACCACCACCACCGCUAAAUGCUAAACUCCUGCUACACUAAACCAUACUACUGUUUUGUCUAAAUGCUAAACCAUAGUUUUCUGCUGAACAGUAGUUUAGCAUUUAGAUAAAAUAUUAAGCUAUUGUAACAGUAGCAAAAGUGAGGAAGCGCCAUUAAGUCAGUGAAAUCAAUGUACCUCAUAAAAAAAAAAAACUAAAAUUUGGAAACAUCAGGCAACUUUAAUCAUCAAGCUACUUGUUAUAAUUGACCAAGUGAUGUUAGCAUCAAGGAACUUUAGCAUAGAAAUUUUCAACUGUUUAGCUAGUGAACAUGCUAAACAAAAAAACAGCAGUUUAGCAUUUAGCUAAACAUUUCGCUACAGUGCUAAGCUACUGUAAAAACAGCACAUCUUGAGUGUCAUGGCAGAGUUGUACUAGAACAGUAAUUUAGCAUUAGGCUAGGCAGUAGUUUAGCAUUUAGCUACAGUGCUAAGCUACUGUAACAGAGAAGACUCAUAAGUAAUGUUCCUUAUACAGCAAAAUGUAACAAAUUUUUUCUAGCUUUACCUGACUUAAACCAGCAAAUACUUGUCAUAACAGUCAGUAACGAAUAAGCCUGUAAUGUUAGCACCAAAUUUACAAAUGUCUGGCUAAUGUAAAUGCUAAACACCACUUUAGCAUUUAGCUACAAUGCUAGCUACUGUGACAAUAGCAUGUGGAGAGAAGUCAGUGGACUGAAUCAAUCUGCCUUAUACAGCAAAAAUUGCCCAAAAUUUGCUAACCUUAGCCACCCAUAGCUAGUGCAUAUCGGACAAAUAAAGCUGUAACCUCAUUUACUUUUACACAUUCAUGUAUUAUACGUAUUAUUACAUGUUCUCGCUUUAAUUUCUGCAAUUGUACAAUACUGUUUUAAGACUGGAUCCCUGUAAGAUAUUAGGAGGAGAAAAGUCCCAUAUGUUGUUUUUUUGCUACCAGAGGAUUCUUUAGUCUGAGGCUAUUUUUAAAAUUAAUUUAAAUAUGAAAAAGCUGUAAAUAGUUCUGUUUAUCAGGUACAACGAUUUGUGAUUGAGCGAUACCAAAAAUCCCUUUCUUCAGUUUUGAACUUUGCCACGUUUUUUUAAACACCUGAAACAGGUGUUAUGCUAAAAAAAAAAAAGCUAAUUAUAAACACCAACCACUGAACGUAAAAGUGCAUAGAGCUAGACUGAUGAGAAAUACAGGAUUGUGCUUGUGGAUCUCAUCGAGACUGGACUCAGCUUGGCCUGAAACCAACUAGACAUUCUCCGUGACUUCCCAGGAGCUGAACUCCUACGUUAUCAGUUUUUUGGCUAGCGAUAUAACACUCUAAACACAUAAACAAUAGCUUUAACAGGGAGAACACUGAAAGGUUAAUUUAAUCAUAUAGUUCUACCCAAUGAGGACAGAUGACCGACUGAGCUAUUUUGUAUUUACAAUAUCCAUAAUGGUACAGCAGAGUUUGAGCACAAGAUACAUUUACAAAAAGCUCUGUUAACAUUAGGUAAAAAUAGUGUGAGCAUUUUAUUUACACUUUCCCAGGCUGUCCAGCCUCUUGAUACACUCAGUUAUAUCUUAUGUUCACUAUAUAUGUCUGCACCAAGCCAUUCAUCAUCAUUACCACCAUCAUCACCACCUUCCAAUUGGCAACUAAAGAAAACAAAAGGUGAUACUGACGCUACCAUUGGCUCUAGAGCAAGGAUGAAGCAUGCAGAGCCUCACACUUGAUGUAUAUAUUCUGUUACAGGUAAGAAAAAUGGAUACAAAAAUAUACAAAAUACAGAUGCUGAGAUGGGAUGGCGCAAUGACAGGAGAGAUUCGAGGGACUGAACCCCACGUUAAGACCAACUGUGAGUCAGCAUCUUCACAUUCAGAAGAAUGGGGGAUGGAAGAGGGUGGAGGUGAGUAAGAAAAAGAGAGAAGAGAAGAAAAGAGGCGAGAGAUGAUGCCACUAGGAUUAAUAGAGUCACAGUUUGGAUGCAGCAUACUUCAUUACCACUGACAAACAAAGCAGUUAAGAGAGAAAAUGUUGUAACUAAGGAGGCCAUUGUAACAAUGGCUCACCAGUCCAGUGUAUAGUAUGAGUUAGUGUGUCUAAACACGUCUCUCAAUAGCUCUUGUGCUACUAGAGAAAGAAGACCACAACCCAAAUCAAAAUCUGGGUUUAACUGAUCUGUGUCUUUAAGAGCAGUGAUGAGCACCGGUUGAAGAACCAACCACUUGAUUGAGCCAAGUUGUGCAAGCGAAGCCAGAGCUGAGACUACUGUACAGACAUUUCUCUCGAAUGUAGUGCAUACUGUAUGUAAAGGGUUAAGCAUCACGGAUAUCUGAAGGAUGACUGAGGGCGACGGUGCUCAUCACUGCUCGCCGUGGUCUCCUCCUCCAGGGCUCUAAAGCAAGCUACACACUACAGUCUUUCAUCGUAGAGAAGAAAAAUAAAACUAGAUCUCACUCCUAAAUAAAGGGCUGCUUUUAUAUUUGAGAUUAUCAAAUAUAGGUUUAUGUGUGUAUAAUCUAUAGAAGAAAAAAGAAAUGCAUACAUCUAUAUUAAAUUUCAUUAAUAUAGUAUCACAUAGAAUUCAUUUACUUUAGUGUUCAUAAUACAUUUAAGUGUGUACAAUUUACUUUUUGUAUCCUUUACAAAUCCACAGUAUAAGUUGUGCCUUUUUUUUGCAGAAAUAGGGGGAGCUGUGGGAUAAAGUUGAGGUGUGUUCCUUACUUAAGGCGUUUCAUGUACCAAUAGCUUUUCACAAAGUGCACUACAUGGGGGUGGGGGGGUGGUUGGGGGGUUGGGGGACGCAAGGUCAGCGGGACACUCAGGAACACACCCAAGGAGUGAGAGGGGGGAAAUAAAGAUUGUUUUAGACUAAAAAUAUCUAUUUUAGCUCCUAUUUGGUUCUUUAUAAACAGUGACUUUAAAAUAAAGCACUCUUAAGAAAACUAAAGUGAUAAUCCUCAAUGCGUGUUAUUGUUUAUAAGUGCGUCCACUUUGUUCAUCAAGAGGGAGUAGAAUAAAGACAGAGCGGAGGAGAGGAGGGUUGUUAGGGCGACCGUGUCUAGCGGUCAUCACUGUGUGUGGUUAUAUAGUGGUUCGUCCCAGGCAUAGGCAGGGUUUGAAUUGUCCCAGCGACUGCACACAUCCACUGGCAAAGUGUCUGACUGAUGGACAGCGUUGAGUUUUGUAUGUACAAGCUUCUGCCUCCGCCUCCACUGGCCGUCCUCGCCCUCGUAACGAAGGCCGUCUGGUGAUCUUGUUUUUCUUGGGUGACCCGUCCAUCAUGCUGCAGUCCCGCCUUUUCUGGCUGGGCCCCCUCAGAGCGAUGUCCUUACUCCGACACUGUGUCCAAAAAGUGGAAAUGUCCUCUAAAA
Molecule: RNA transcript, 7511 nt
Organism: Lates calcarifer (barramundi perch)
Lineage: Eukaryota; Metazoa; Chordata; Actinopteri; Centropomidae
Gene: ttll11
Gene name: tubulin tyrosine ligase-like family, member 11
Exons: 11
Source: RefSeq, a predicted model, not a curated record